AAAAAAAAUUACACAAGCUUUACACAUAAUUACCUAGAAAAGACCGACUAAUUGAAGGCCUACUGGCCUCAGAUGAUUGGACCUCCCUAAGUAUAAUGUUUAUAUUGUAGUUUCCUAUUGCUGAUUAAGUGUUUCGGCUCUGUUCGCGCAGAUUUGACGGUCAUUCUGUAAUCUACGAGUUAUUUAGUGCGACAGUUCUAGCAACUGUGUUCAGCCCAUAACAUUGUUUCUUCAGUGUAACAGCCUUUAAGGCUCAGUAAACAGCACAUUAAAAGUGAAGAAAGAAAAAAAAAAAACUUACGUUGUCAAAGAAAGACCAGGGGCGGUAUUCUCGGGCGACACUUUCGGACAUGCUUUCAGUUUCGCCAGAUUUCACGUGACUAGCGCCGGACGCGUUCGGCGUCUACAGGCGACAGCGCGCUUGGCCAGCGCUGGCUUGGCAUUGUUCUAGGAACGCUGUCGCUCGUAGACGCUCAAGUGACCUAGUCACUAUAAAUUUUGCGACACUCAAAAAUCAUCGCCCGAGACGCGGGCAAUCAUCGCACGUAAAGACGCGGGCAUUUCAGCAUACUUGACAUCAACAACGCGGUUCGUGAUUCCUGAUCGCCAUGGAACGGAAGAGACGUCGCUGGACCGCAAAGCCACGUCCGAAAUGCUGCAUCCUGCGUGACAACUUCUGGUCGUUGCCUCCUCAUGCAACACUGAUGGCGAUUUAAUAAAACGUGUCUCAGAA
This is a long non-coding RNA of Dermacentor silvarum, 733 nucleotides long. RefSeq lists it as uncharacterized. NCBI's taxonomy places the organism in Eukaryota, Metazoa, Arthropoda, Arachnida, Ixodida, Ixodidae. The transcript has 3 exons. The record is from RefSeq and is a predicted model, not a curated record.